GACGAACGCUGGCGGCGUGCUUAACACAUGCAAGUCGAACGAUGAAGAAGAGAAACGCGAACUUCGGUUCAAAUUUCACUUCGGAUUAGUGGCAGACGGGUGAGUAACGCGUGAGCAACCUACCUCUUACAAAGGGAUAGCCUCGGGAAACCGUGAUUAAUACCAUAUGACACAUUCAUAAGGCAUCUUAAGAAUGUUAAAGCUACGGCGGUAAGAGAUGGGCUCGCGUCCCAUUAGCUAGUUGGUGAGGUAACGGCCCACCAAGGCGACGAUGGGUAACCGGCCUGAGAGGGGGAACGGUCACAUUGGAACUGAGACACGGUCCAAACUCCUACGGGAAGCAGCAGUGGGGAAUAUUGCACAAUGGAGGGAACUCUGAUGCAGCGACGCCGCGUGAGCGAUGAAGGAAUUCGUUUCGUAAAGCUCUGUUCUAUGGGAAGAAAAGGACUGUACCAUAGGAGAAAGCCCCGGCUAAAUACGUG
This 482-nucleotide ribosomal RNA is filed under the name uncultured bacterium. RNAcentral describes it as "partial 16S ribosomal RNA". It matches the Rfam family "Bacterial small subunit ribosomal RNA", at positions 28 to 507 of the family's 1533-position model. The record is from RNAcentral.